UACGUAGGGUGCGAGCGUUGUCCGGAAUUAUUGGGCGUAAAGAGCUCGUAGGCGGUUUGUUGCGUCUAUCGUGAAAACCUGCAGCUUAACUGUGGGCUUGCGGUGGAUACGGGCAGACUUGAGUUCGGUAGGGGAGACUGGAAUUCCUGGUGUAGCGGUGAAAUGCGCAGAUAUCAGGAGGAACACCGGUGGCGAAGGCGGGUCUCUGGGCCGAUACUGACGCUGAGGAGCGAAAGCGUGGGGAGCGAUCCGG
This 253-nucleotide ribosomal RNA is filed under the name uncultured bacterium. RNAcentral's name for it is "partial 16S ribosomal RNA". It matches the Rfam family "Bacterial small subunit ribosomal RNA", at positions 524 to 776 of the family's 1533-position model. The record is from RNAcentral.